AGCGGCGGACGGGUGAGUAAUGCAUAGGGAUCUGCCCGAUAGUGGGGGAUAACCUGGGGAAACCCAGGCUAAUACCGCAUACGUCCUACGGGAGAAAGGGGGCUCCGGCUCCCGCUAUGGGAUGAGCCUAUGUCGGAUUAGCUAGUUGGUGAGGUAACGGCUUACCAAGGCCACGAUCCGUAGCUGGUCUGAGAGGAUGAUCAGCCACAUCGGGACUGAGACACGGCCCGAACUCCUACGGGAGGCAGCAGUGGGGAAUAUUGGACAAUGGGGGAAACCCUGAUCCGGCCAUGCCGCGUGUGUGAAGAAGGCCCUCGGGUUGUAAAGCACUUUCAGCGGGGAAGAACGCCUAGCGGUUAAUACCCGCUAGGAAAGACAUCACUCGCAAAAGAAGCACCGGCUAACUCCGUGCCAGCAGCCGCGGUAAUACGGAGGGUGCAAGCGUUAAUCGGAAUUACUGGGCGUAAAGCGCGCGUAGGUGUCUUGAUAAGCCGGUUGUGAAAGCCCCGGGCUCAACCUGGGAACGGCAUCCGGAACUGUCAAGCUAGAGUGCAGGAGAGGAAGGUAGAAUUCCCGGUGUAGCGGUGAAAUGCGUAGAGAUCGGGAGGAAUACCAGUGUCGAAGGCGGCCUUCUGGACUGACACUGACACUGAGGUGCGAAAGCGUGGGUAGCAAACAGGAUUAGAUACCCUGGUAGUCCACGCCGA
This 707-nucleotide ribosomal RNA is filed under the name uncultured bacterium. Its description in RNAcentral is "bacterial SSU rRNA". It matches the Rfam family "Bacterial small subunit ribosomal RNA", at positions 94 to 803 of the family's 1533-position model. The record is from RNAcentral.